UUGAAAUAACUGGCUCUGUUCCAUAAAGUGAUUUUAUAUACAUAGCAUUGGCAUAACUUCAUUGAAAAACGGUGUUGAAUUGCAAAUUGGAUAUUAGAAACGGAAAUGUCUGACGAAGAGGUUAUUAAAGUAGCUUCGACAGUAGGGACAGCUCCGCUGUGGGUGCCGGUAGCUGCCGCAGGUGGCCUUGUUUAUGGUGCAGGAAAAGGUCUCGAUGCUGCAAAUGACUUCGGGAAGGAGAACGGACCUCUAGCUGGUAUAGCAGCAGCUCCGUUCAUUGUUGGUGCCAACAUUAUAGCUGGUCCAUUCAGAGGUAUCAAGAAAGUGGGCGAUGUUAUGAUAGGGAAAAAGAAGAAAAAGUAAACUUUGUAUUAUCAAGCACUGUUUGAGGAAUGGCUUGUAUGAAGUACCAGUCGGAUUACUAUAUCACUUUUUUAUAUCUCUACCUGAUUCUUUUCAAUUAAUUUUCAGAUUAAUUAAUCUUUAAUUCAUCACAGUCUAAUCAGUGCAUAUAUACAAUACAUGUGUCGUCUGCUAGCGUUUCAUUUUUUUAGAAAGGUUUUUUAUAAUUAUACACAGACUCAAUUGCAUAAUACAGUAUCAAAUAAAUUUCGACGUUUUGAAUAACAUUAUGACAACCAGACAAGACCAAAUACAUAAACAUUUGGAAUGAAGACCAAUGGAAUGUUUUUGAAGUGUUGUUCCUAUCCCAUUGAAGAUAUCAUGUAACCAUGUCCUAAUCACAGCUUUAGUUAAUCUUUGAUAUUGUUUAAUAUGUAUAUGUCGGUCUAGAUCUUAGAAACAUAUGUUGCAAACAUUAUAUCUCGUCUUGUUUGUUACUUUAUUUAAUAAAUAUUAAAUUUAAUUGA
Ruditapes philippinarum (Manila clam) is the source of this 869-nucleotide long non-coding RNA. RefSeq lists it as uncharacterized. The transcript is spliced from 4 exons. Lineage: Eukaryota; Metazoa; Mollusca; Bivalvia; Venerida; Veneridae. The record is from RefSeq and is a predicted model, not a curated record.